This 293-nucleotide long non-coding RNA is filed under the name Lathyrus oleraceus (garden pea). Its description in RNAcentral is "Pisum sativum (pea) long non-coding RNA (PSAT_LNC001738)". Lineage: Eukaryota; Viridiplantae; Streptophyta; Magnoliopsida; Fabales; Fabaceae. The record is from RNAcentral.
GAAAGAUAGGGUGAUCAAACUCUCUGUAUAUGCCAACAAUAAUUGGACUUGGACCGUAAGUAAUGGAUUACAACUAGCUUAUAACGGAGUUUAUCGAUAAAAACUGGACUUGAAGGGUAGAUUACUAGACGAGAACUAGUGUUUUGUAUUUUGUUUUUUUUUUGUCAGACGAGAACUGACUUUUUCUAAUUUAUUGUCAGAAGAGAACUGACCUUAAAAUGCUUUACUGUCAGAUGAGAACUGACUUUAAAAUAUUUUACCAGACAGGAACUAGUUUUGAACAGAAAACUGAC